RNAcentral lists this ribosomal RNA (165 nucleotides) under Croton watsonii. RNAcentral describes it as "5.8S ribosomal RNA". It matches the Rfam family "5.8S ribosomal RNA". From Rfam's summary of the family: 5.8S ribosomal RNA (5.8S rRNA) is a component of the large subunit of the eukaryotic ribosome. It is transcribed by RNA polymerase I as part of the 45S precursor that also contains 18S and 28S rRNA. The record is from RNAcentral. RNAcentral also lists the same sequence under 4 other names. Lineage: Eukaryota; Viridiplantae; Streptophyta; Magnoliopsida; Malpighiales; Euphorbiaceae.
ACGACUCUCGGCAACGGAUAUCUCGGCUCUCGCAUCGAUGAAGAACGCAGCGAAAUGCGAUACUUGGUGUGAAUUGCAGAAUCCCGUGAACCAUCGAGUUUUUGAACGCAAGUUGCGCCCAAAGCCUUUCGGCUGAGGGCACGUCUGCCUGGGUGUCACGCAACA